AACUUCUGAAUGUUGACCUCGGAUCAGGUAGGAAUACCCGCUGAACUUAAGCAUAUCAAUAAGCGGAGGAAAAGAAACCAACAGGGAUUGCCCUAGUAACGGCGAGUGAAGCGGCAACAGCUCAAAUUUGAAAUCUGGCUUUCGGGCCCGAGUUGUAAUUUGUAGAGGAUACUUUUGAUGCGGUGCCUUCCGAGUUCCCUGGAACGGGACGCCAUAGAGGGUGAGAGCCCCGUCUGGUUGGAUGCCAAAUCUCUGUAAAGUUCCUUCGACGAGUCGAGUAGUUUGGGAAUGCUGCUCUAAAUGGGAGGUAUAUGUCUUCUAAAGCUAAAUAUUGGCCAGAGACCGAUAGCGCACAAGUAGAGUGAUCGAAAGAUGAAAAGCACUUUGAAAAGAGAGUUAAAAAGUACGUGAAAUUGUUGAAAGGGAAGCGUUUAUGACCAGACUUGGACUUGGUUAAUCAUCUGGGGUUCUCCCCAGUGCACUUUUCCAGUUCAGGCCAGCAUCAGUUUUCGCCGGGGGAUAAAGGCAGCGGGAAUGUGGCUCUCUUCGGGGAGUGUUAUAGCCCGUUGUGUAAUACCCUGGUGGGGACUGAGGUUCGCGCUUCUGCAAGGAUGCUGGCGUAAUGGUCAUCAACGACCCGUCU
RNAcentral lists this ribosomal RNA (643 nucleotides) under Fusarium flocciferum. RNAcentral's name for it is "eukaryotic LSU rRNA". It matches the Rfam family "Eukaryotic large subunit ribosomal RNA", at positions 1 to 654 of the family's 3401-position model. RNAcentral also lists the same sequence under 1 other name. Lineage: Eukaryota; Fungi; Ascomycota; Sordariomycetes; Hypocreales; Nectriaceae. The record is from RNAcentral.